This 253-nucleotide ribosomal RNA is filed under the name uncultured bacterium. Its description in RNAcentral is "partial 16S ribosomal RNA". It matches the Rfam family "Bacterial small subunit ribosomal RNA", at positions 524 to 776 of the family's 1533-position model. The record is from RNAcentral.
UACGUAGGGGGUAAGCGUUAUCCGGAUUUACUGGGUGUAAAGGGAGCGUAGACGGCAUGGCAAGUCAGAUGUGAAAGCCCGGGGCUCAACCCCGGGACUGCAUUUGAAACUGUCAGGCUGGAGUGCAGGAGAGGUAAGUGGAAUUCCUAGUGUAGCGGUGAAAUGCGUAGAUAUUAGGAGGAACACCAGUGGCGAAGGCGGCUUACUGGACUGUAACUGACGUUGAGGCUCGAAAGCGUGGGGAGCAAACAGG